Long non-coding RNA from Daphnia pulex (common water flea), 969 nucleotides. RefSeq lists it as uncharacterized. The transcript is spliced from 2 exons. The record is from RefSeq and is a predicted model, not a curated record. Lineage: Eukaryota; Metazoa; Arthropoda; Branchiopoda; Diplostraca; Daphniidae.
CCAACCCGAACUUGUGUCUCGUAUACGAGUCUAUUGAAGCCAUUUCUGGUAUUCUACCAAUGACAUCUUUUAUGAUCUAUGGAACCCAACUUGGGACGACAUCCACUGCGACUUCCAUUCAAGGAUUGAUUUCAGCGACCUACUUUGGACUAUAGAUCUGUGACGACCCUAUAUGAAGAAGUUUAAGGAUUAUCAACUCUUUAUUGCUUUAAUAAUUGAUGACUCACUGGGUGAUUUAGGGGCUGGAAUCGGAGCGUUAGGCCAGCGAGUGGUUUUCCGCAUUUUCGUCGCUUAUUUCCUCACUGGAUUCCUCUACUCAAUUUUAAAAUUUUUUGAAACGGGAAGGUUGAAGAAAUUCAGUGACAUUCAACGUCCGUAUAGUGCGUUAGUCUUUUUGUAGCCAGCAGCAUCUAAGCAAACUAUUUUCCUAUAAAUCAUUAAAUCGGUUCUUUUGAGACUCAACUUAUUUUUUUACUAAACAUUUUUAGCUUAUGUACAGAUUAAAGCCUAGAUGAAAUAUUCAAAAUUUUAAAGACUAAAAGAAUUUCAGUUAUUGUACAUAAUUUGAUAAAUCAAUAUAAAAGAAGCUUUAAUGUCAGUAUUCUAAUUUUUUGUCUACCCUUUUGGCCACAAGGGUAACAUAGCGUCGCUUGUUCGCUUCCAUCUUCUAGGAUCCAGAAGUUUUACUGGACUUCCUUGAAUCGGACCACCCCUAAAUGCGAUUAAUGCUGACUACAAGACAAACUUCGCGAGUGUAUUUUCUUCUUCUCGUCGUUAUUUUAACACCCAUUCACAACUCAUAGGAUCUCAUAUUCAUCAAACAUAACCUACAUACGCACACAAAAGUUUAUUUCAACUUGCAAAUGUUGCAAACAUUUCUGAUUAAUCGCCACCAAAAUUAUCAAGAGGCGGUCGGUUGUGAUACACUUAUAUACAAUUAACUAUUACCAACUCUUGAAUAUGGUUGUU